GCUCCCAUAGCUCAGUUGUUAGUGCAUCCAAAUGUUGCCUGGAAGAUCAUGGGCUCGACUCCCGUUGGGGAGCC
This is a non-coding RNA of Desmophyllum pertusum, 74 nucleotides long. NCBI's taxonomy places the organism in Eukaryota, Metazoa, Cnidaria, Anthozoa, Scleractinia, Caryophylliidae. The record is from the annotation of a GenBank genome assembly.